This 497-nucleotide ribosomal RNA is filed under the name uncultured bacterium. Its description in RNAcentral is "partial 16S ribosomal RNA". It matches the Rfam family "Bacterial small subunit ribosomal RNA", at positions 28 to 507 of the family's 1533-position model. The record is from RNAcentral.
GAUGAACGCUGGCGGCGUGCCUAAUACAUGCAAGUCGAGCGAACGGACGAGAAGCUUGCUUCUCUGAUGUUAGCGGCGGACGGGUGAGUAACACGUGGAUAACCUACCUAUAAGACUGGGAUAACUUCGGGAAACCGGAGCUAAUACCGGAUAAUAUUUUGAACCGCAUGGUUCAAAAGUGAAAGACGGUCUUGCUGUCACUUAUAGAUGGAUCCGCGCUGCAUUAGCUAGUUGGUAAGGUAACGGCUUACCAAGGCAACGAUGCAUAGCCGACCUGAGAGGGUGAUCGGCCACACUGGAACUGAGACACGGUCCAGACUCCUACGGGAGGCAGCAGUAGGGAAUCUUCCGCAAAGGGCGAAAGCCUGACGGAGCAACGCCGCGUGAGUGAUGAAGGUCUUCGGAUCGUAAAACUCUGUUAUUAGGGAAGAACAUAUGAGUAAGUAACUGUGCACAUCUUGACGGUACCUAAUCAGAAAGCCACGGCUAACUACGUG